AUUUGCUUGAAAAUACAUCGAGCAAAUCUUGACCAUCACUGGAGGUGGGCGGGAAUCAAGUUUGAGGUGGCCAACCUUGAUCACCAGGAGCAGGCCCCAGAGUCAGUGACCCGACUGGGGAAGUGGCCUGUCAAGUGUUGGGUGGCCACUGACAAUGACCCUACCUAUGACUGGUAGGAUUUCCCCUGUUUCCUCUGAACUGAUGAAACGUGACAUGAUGACAGGUAACCAUCUUAGAUGGCUUACCCACUCAGCUUGCCCAUGCCUUACACCUCCCAGACUAUGACAAGGACGGACAGACAGUCCCAAACCUGACCAUACGCCUCUCCCUGAGAGGGUGGCCAUGGGAAACAUGGUUUACCAUGUUAGGUUCCACACCCUCCAGUCAUGCACUGCACCCGCUGCCUCCUGUUCGGUCACGGCAACAUUUCCUGCAAUGGGUGUGCCCACUGCAGGAAAUGCAGUGGCUACCAUGACACUGACAGGUGUGUGAGGGAGAAUCAUUGUUUGUUUUGUGGUCCUGGCCACUGUCCCACAUCUAAACAGUGCCCAGCUCGCCUCCAGGAAGUGUAGCUGCAGGAACUGCAACAUGACAAGGCCUACUCCCUCAUGGACAUCAAAAGAAAAAUGAGAGGCAUCCUCCCGGGUAUUUUCUCACCCUCCAAGACAGGACACCCUCAUCCUCCUCCCCUACACCUCACUCACCCUUGCACACCAAGAACCUCACCUCAGGCCCCACCCUUGCUCCUCGCCCUACAACCUUCCAGGCUUCUCUCACAGCUCCCAUCCUUGAUCCUAUCCCUGCCCCUACCAAACCCCUGAGCCCCAUUAUUAGUGUGGUACCACUCACUGCUCAGUCACCCUCACCCAAAGCCCAACGGACUUGCCACCACCACAAACCACACCACACGGUCACACCACAUCGCACCACCAGACCCUCCGUCAUCCCCAAGGGCGCCUACAGGACAGACAUAACAGAUGCUGGAGAAUUCGUACCACAGCCAGCAGCCCAGCAGCCCUUGCCCUCACUUGGGUGGUGCUGACUAUGUUGCAUACCAGCUUGACAUCAGUCAGGUCCCAUUGGUUUCCUAACAUCCAGGGAAUGGGAGUGUGAAAGAUCCCAUGAAGCAGCAGUGGUCCUCUCACACAACAUUGGUUUGGUGACAUCAUAAACUUACCUCUCAGAUAAGCAAUGGAUAAUACGUGUAUUUCUAUUUGAACAUGGAUACAAAUUAAAUUAAUAAUUAAUGUAGAGUAAAUUAGUUGGCAUUGCUCUCUUGUCCUAAGAUGGUUUCUUCCACAACAGUGUGCCUUGGAGUGGUCCUGGUUUAGUGUUGCAUCAGUUGGCCCCAGAAGCUCUCCACCCAGCUGACUAGACUAAUAAGGUGACAGCUCCCCCCCUAGAAUAAGGCCCACACACCUUUACUGAUUGGCAGCUUCACGAGGGACGAGGCAGAGGACGUGAUUAAUGCCACCAACAGACAACUUAGUGACAUCCUGGCCUGGGGACGUCAGUGGCAAGUCAAGUUUGCUGCCGAGAAGACCCAAGCCAUGGUGAUAUUACGUUCAAGGGAGGAUGCCAGGCGACUGGAGGGGAAGCUGAAGUUUGGUGACGACACCCUCGCCUUACAGGACUCCGUCAGCAUCCUGGGGAUGGAGGUUGACUCCCAACUCAGCUUCGCACGCCAUCUGGAGGGUGUGGCACGCAAGGCCUCCUUGAGGGUGACAUUGCUGCGGCGAGUCCAGCACUUCCUCAACGCUGACGGCCUCCUGAAACUCUACAAGGCCCAGGUGAGGCCCAUCAUGGAGUACUGUCUCCUCACAUGGAUGAGCAGUGCCCAGUCCCACCUCUCCCUGCUGGACAAAGUACAAAGGCGGGCAGAACGCUUAAUACAAGGUGCCAGCAGCAACAACAACAACAUCAACAGGGGCGCCACCACCAUCAUCAUCAGCAGCAGCAGCAGCGAUGCUCCACAAGGCUGCUAGACAGUCUCGAGCACCGCAGGAGAGUUGAUGCCCUGACAGUGCUACACACACCACACCUCGCAGCACUUCAGGUCCCAUGGCGGAGGUCUCAGCACACUACGAGAGCGGUAGUGACUAAUGACCUCCUCCUGGAAGUCCUGAGGACCAGCACUGUGAGGUGCCAGUGCUCCUUCACUUAUGCCACAGCAACACUGUGGUCACCUCUGUGGUGGAUCCCAGGACCAUGUCCACCCAACAGGUGAAAAUGGCAGCCCACAGAUGGUGCUGCACCCACCCACCCUAGUGCCGUGACACUAAAGUGACAGUGACAGUGCUAUGUGUUUUUCACAAUUACCAUUUUCUGUAUAUAUUAUCAUUACUCCAAUUAUAAGGUUUAAGCUUUAAAAUAGGAGAGAGAGAGAGAGGGAGGGAGAGAGAGAGAGAGAGAGAGAGAGAGAGAGAGAGAGAGAGAGAGAGAGAGAGAGAGAGAGAGAGA
This 2461-nucleotide unclassified non-coding RNA is filed under the name Portunus trituberculatus (swimming crab). RNAcentral describes it as "uncharacterized LOC123516157, transcript variant X3". The record is from RNAcentral. Lineage: Eukaryota; Metazoa; Arthropoda; Malacostraca; Decapoda; Portunidae.